GAAAAAAGAAAUCAUUCUACGUGUCAAGCCACUGAGAAAGCAGAGUGGUGGGCAGCGGAGAAAGGCAAAGGUAACAUGGCUGAGGGUUGCCAUGUCACCACACAUUUCACAGCCUCCAAAUUUCCAAACUACAUAACUGAACAACUAUUAUCUGCAUGGAAAUUUUGCAAACUUAACUUUGCAAACACAAGGGGUAGGAAGUAUGUAUUUGUGCAUGAGGCAGAGGGAGGACAAAAGCUUAUCAUCACUGGAGUCCCGAGCUCCGUGCUUUCAGAAAAAUAAAAAUAAAAAUCAUCCUAUUGGACCCUGCA
Molecule: long non-coding RNA, 311 nt
Filed under: Anser brachyrhynchus (Pink-footed goose)
Lineage: Eukaryota; Metazoa; Chordata; Aves; Anseriformes; Anatidae
Description: lncRNA (ENSABRG00000009991.1)
Source: RNAcentral